RNAcentral lists this long non-coding RNA (1141 nucleotides) under Homo sapiens (human). RNAcentral describes it as "non-protein coding lnc-AGRP-1:23". The record is from RNAcentral. Lineage: Eukaryota; Metazoa; Chordata; Mammalia; Primates; Hominidae.
ACAUUCCCUGGCCGCGCGCUGGGAGCCAGGCGGCCUCCCCCGGGCCGGGCCUGGCCAGGGCUGAGUCCGAGCGGCGACGCAGAGGGGCCGCCGUGACUCACCCGCGCCCUCCCCGCCCGCUUCUCUCAAGCGGGACCCAGCCCAGAGUCCUGAGUCCUCCCCUCACCCGCACCCAAACCCAGACCCCUGGGGCGGCUCACCUUGCUCCUCUCUCCCGCCGCAGUCACAGGACCCAAGCCGGAGAGGGCGGUGGAAGAAGGAGCUAUGCCAGUCCUCCUUGUCCCGCUGGAGUAUUUUGUACCUCAGCCCCCAAUUAUCAUUCCUCUCCUCCCUCCAAUACCACGGAGGUGGGUGUCGCAGGGGCAAGGACUCAGAUCUAAUCCUCGCUUCUCCCAAACCAGCUGUGUGACCUUGAGAAUACUACUAACCUCUCUGGGCCUGUUUCUGCAUCUGCCAGAUGGUCAUAACCCUCCUCAGAUGCUGUGCGUUGGCCGAAUGCGGCAGGCCCAGGGCGCGGCCCCGCAGACUGCAGCCAGGGCACAAGUAUUGUUACACGAGGCUGCGCACAGUAGGUGCUGGGGCGGCCAGCCUGGACACACGUUAGAACUGGCUGGGGAGGGUCUGUAGGGGAGGCCGGACUCAGGGCUCACCCUGGAGAGGAGGACAAAGGGUGCUGAAUCUGGACUGAAUCCGACCUCUAGCCCUGGGCUGGGCCGUGGGAGUGCUGGCCAACGUGCCAGGCAGGGAGGACCUGAAUUCCUGAAGGUGGUGGUGGCAGCUGUUAGGGUCCACAGGUUAAUGAUCUCCAACGUCACACAGAAGAGAAUGUGCUGAGGUGUGACCUCCCUCACCCUGCCUUGGCUGCGUGGGGCACCGUCUCUCCAGGACUCACCCUGCCCCCCAAUAGACUGAAGUCUGAAGAUCAGCCCAGUCUUCCUUCAGGCCUCAAUGCCCUCUCACUUCCCCAGCCCGAGGGACUCCUGGCUCUUCUCGGAGGCUGCUCUGUGGGGUCCCUCCCUUGGGCCUUUGCUAAUGCUGUGCCCUCUGCCUGUGCCAGAGGUGGGCCUGGGCCCGUUUCUCAGGGAGCUCCUGAACACCAAGAAAUUGAAUUGCUUUGUAAAUAAACAAAAAGUGCCAAACA